Long non-coding RNA from Ipomoea nil (Japanese morning glory), 425 nucleotides. RefSeq lists it as uncharacterized. The record is from RefSeq and is a predicted model, not a curated record. The transcript has 2 exons. NCBI's taxonomy places the organism in Eukaryota, Viridiplantae, Streptophyta, Magnoliopsida, Solanales, Convolvulaceae.
AGAACAUAGGCAGCUCCGAUCCAAUUAGUGACAUGCGUGGCAGCAUCAGGGACCUUCUGGUGCAUCUCCAACACCAGGGCCGGGAAGAACAUGUCAAGCUUUGACUUGGCAGUAUAGCUUCUUAGGCAUCUAACAGGACGGAUAGCGACAAUUUUGGGUUGAGACGGCAGGACAAUCGGCAGCUUUCUUGUCCUUAGUUCUUGGAAACUACUGGUAUAUCAUAUAAUAUAAAAAUACAAGAAAAUGCAUGAUUUGUAAGCCGAGAGUUACAAGUUCGACUCUCCGUGAGAGUGACCUAUUGAUAUUCAUGGUUCGGUCAACUAUGAGCAAUGCAGGUUGUGGUCCUUUAACGGCUAAGAUCACAAGGCUGGAUUUACCACGUGCACGGCUUCGAUAGUGGCUCUGAUUUUCCUUGUCACUCAAAA